GGUUCGGUAGCUCAACUGGAUAGAGCAUCUGCCUUCUAAGCAGACGGUUUCGGGUUCGAGUCCCGACCGAAUCA
RNAcentral lists this transfer RNA (74 nucleotides) under Muribaculaceae bacterium. RNAcentral describes it as "tRNA-Arg". It matches the Rfam family "tRNA". Rfam says of the family: Transfer RNA (tRNA) molecules are approximately 80 nucleotides in length. Their secondary structure includes four short double-helical elements and three loops (D, anti-codon, and T loops). Lineage: Bacteria; Pseudomonadati; Bacteroidota; Bacteroidia; Bacteroidales; Muribaculaceae. The record is from RNAcentral.